RNAcentral lists this transfer RNA (70 nucleotides) under SAR202 cluster bacterium. Its description in RNAcentral is "tRNA-Ala". It matches the Rfam family "tRNA". From Rfam's summary of the family: Transfer RNA (tRNA) molecules are approximately 80 nucleotides in length. Their secondary structure includes four short double-helical elements and three loops (D, anti-codon, and T loops). Lineage: Bacteria; Bacillati; Chloroflexota; Dehalococcoidia. The record is from RNAcentral.
GCGGCAGGCGGUUGGAUCGCACCUUAGGUUCGCACCUUAGGGCUUGGGGGUUCGAAUCCCCCCUGCCGCG